Molecule: long non-coding RNA, 1373 nt
Organism: Dendronephthya gigantea
Lineage: Eukaryota; Metazoa; Cnidaria; Anthozoa; Malacalcyonacea; Nephtheidae
Exons: 24
Source: RefSeq, a predicted model, not a curated record
AAUUAUAUCAUCUUAAUUUUCAGCAGCAGUUCUCAGGCGAUAUUACCUCUACGGCCAACUGAUGAUGGAUCCAUGGUGCAGCAGUUCUCAGGCGAUAUUACCUCUACGGCCAACUGAUGAUGGAUCCAUGGUGCAGCAGUUCUCAGGCGAUAUUACCUCUACGGCCAACUGAUGAUGGAUCCAUGGUGCAGCAGUUCUCAGGCGAUAUUACCUCUACGGCCAACUGAUGAUGGAUCCAUGGUGCAGCAGUUCUCAGGCGAUAUUACCUCUACGGCCAACUGAUGAUGGAUCCAUGGUGCAGCAGUUCUCAGGCGAUAUUACCUCUACGGCCAACUGAUGAUGGAUCCAUGGUGCAGCAGUUCUCAGGCGAUAUUACCUCUACGGCCAACUGAUGAUGGAUCCAUGGUGCAGCAGUUCUCAGGCGAUAUUACCUCUACGGCCAACUGAUGAUGGAUCCAUGGUGCAGCAGUUCUCAGGCGAUAUUACCUCUACGGCCAACUGAUGAUGGAUCCAUGGUGCAGCAGUUCUCAGGCGAUAUUACCUCUACGGCCAACUGAUGAUGGAUCCAUGGUGCAGCAGUUCUCAGGCGAUAUUACCUCUACGGCCAACUGAUGAUGGAUCCAUGGUGCAGCAGUUCUCAGGCGAUAUUACCUCUACGGCCAACUGAUGAUGGAUCCAUGGUGCAGCAGUUCUCAGGCGAUAUUACCUCUACGGCCAACUGAUGAUGGAUCCAUGGUGCAGCAGUUCUCAGGCGAUAUUACCUCUACGGCCAACUGAUGAUGGAUCCAUGGUGCAGCAGUUCUCAGGCGAUAUUACCUCUACGGCCAACUGAUGAUGGAUCCAUGGUGCAGCAGUUCUCAGGCGAUAUUACCUCUACGGCCAACUGAUGAUGGAUCCAUGGUGCAGUUCUCAGGCGAUAUUACCUCUACGGCCAACUGAUGAUGGAUCCAUGGUGCAGCAGUUCUCAGGCGAUAUUACCUCUACGGCCAACUGAUGAUGGAUCCAUGGUGCAGCAGUUCUCAGGCGAUAUUACCUCUACGGCCAACUGAUGAUGGAUCCAUGGUGCAGCAGUUCUCAGGCGAUAUUACCUCUACGGCCAACUGAUGAUGGAUCCAUGGUGCAGCAGUUCUCAGGCGAUAUUACCUCUACGGCCAACUGAUGAUGGAUCCAUGGUGCAGCAGUUCUCAGGCGAUAUUACCUCUACGGCCAACUGAUGAUGGAUCCAUGGUGCAGCAGUUCUCAGGCGAUAUUACCUCUACGGCCAACUGAUGAUGGAUCCAUGGUGCAGUUCUCAGGCGAUAUUACCUCUACGGCCAACUGAUGAUGGAUCCAUGGUGGUAUGUGUCGUACAUUCAUUACAUAUAUAUGUCAAU